RNAcentral lists this long non-coding RNA (251 nucleotides) under Heterocephalus glaber (naked mole-rat). Its description in RNAcentral is "lncRNA (ENSHGLG00000044350.1)". The record is from RNAcentral. Lineage: Eukaryota; Metazoa; Chordata; Mammalia; Rodentia; Bathyergidae.
GAGGCCAGCUGCGGACUGGCAGCCAAGAGUGUCAGACGUCUGAGCUGAGAAUAGAGUCCUGAGGGUACUCGUGGCAUCUUGGGUUCUCUUGGAAAGUAGCAGCCACCAAGAUAUUAAAGAGAAUAGAAGGCAGCCAAGUGAAAAAGAAGAAAGAGGAGGAAGACAAGAAGAGAGAGGGAAAAAGAGAGGGAGAACAAGAAGAAAGAGACUCACCAGAUGCUGAUGCCUUGAUCAUGGACUUCCAAACCUCU